RNAcentral lists this transfer RNA (68 nucleotides) under Curculionoidea sp. 2 KM-2015. RNAcentral's name for it is "tRNA-Arg". RNAcentral also lists the same sequence under 1 other name. The record is from RNAcentral. Lineage: Eukaryota; Metazoa; Arthropoda; Insecta; Coleoptera.
AAGUAAGAAACAAAAUAUUGUAUUUAGUUUCGACCUAACCUUUGGUUUAAUAAAUAAACCCUUACUUU